GAGUUGUGCCCCACGGUUCCUCGAGGUGCAGGACUACAUAUCCCGGCAUGCAUCGGUCUUUAAGGAGGCUUCUGGCCAGAGCGGGAAAUUAAGUGCGCCGUUAGACUUUCUGGAAGAGCUGUCAGCGCUAAAAAUGUGCAGUAUUAUGCAACCAACCAUCAAUUCCAGGAAUUUUCAUCACCCCAAAAAGAAGCCUUGUACUCUUUAAGGAAUUACCUGCUAGGCUCCACUCCCCCACAGGCCGUGGCAACCACUAAUCUGCUUUGUCUUUAUGGAUUUGCCUAUUCUGGACAUUUCAUAUAAAUGGAAUCAUACAAUAUGUGGCCUUUUG
Molecule: long non-coding RNA, 331 nt
Organism: Neofelis nebulosa (Clouded leopard)
Lineage: Eukaryota; Metazoa; Chordata; Mammalia; Carnivora; Felidae
Exons: 2
Source: RefSeq, a predicted model, not a curated record